GGCUUCCUAACAGGAUUUGAGUCUCUGAGAAGGAGUAUUUUGAAGUCACAAACUGCCUUGGAGGAAAAAAAGGAAAGCAGAGCUUCUAGUUACUAAUUCAAGCUUCCACCAGAAAAGGAACUUUUAAAGAAUAAAUUUAAACUAGGUUUUAAAGUAUGAUUUCCAGCCAGUUUUAUCACACCAGCCUGUGCAAGCAGAGCUCCCUCAGACCCCGUGACAGGCUACUGGAGCUGCUGAGACAGAAGUUGCUCAACAGUCAUGGUGUCCACAGUACUUAAUACCUACACGGUGAGAACAAGCUCUUCUCUUGUGGUCGUUCAUGGUCAUUGGACUCCUGCCUACCUAUACAUGACUAAUUGUUUUCAUUAUGUAAGCAAGCACAUAUAAUUGAAAAUGCUAGA
Long non-coding RNA from Suricata suricatta (meerkat), 401 nucleotides. RefSeq lists it as uncharacterized. Lineage: Eukaryota; Metazoa; Chordata; Mammalia; Carnivora; Herpestidae. The record is from RefSeq and is a predicted model, not a curated record. The transcript is spliced from 3 exons.